RNAcentral lists this ribosomal RNA (253 nucleotides) under uncultured bacterium. RNAcentral's name for it is "partial 16S ribosomal RNA". It matches the Rfam family "Bacterial small subunit ribosomal RNA", at positions 524 to 776 of the family's 1533-position model. The record is from RNAcentral.
UACGUAGGGCGCGAGCGUUGUCCGGAAUUAUUGGGCGUAAAGAGCUCGUAGGCGGCUUGUCACGUCUGCUGUGAAAACUCGGGGCUCAACCCCGAGCCUGCAGUGGAUACGGGCUAGCUAGAGUGCGGUAGGGGAGACUGGAAUUCCUGGUGUAGCGGUGAAAUGCGCAGAUAUCAGGAGGAACACCGGUGGCGAAGGCGGGUCUCUGGACCGAUACUGACGCUGAGGAGCGAAAGCGUGGGGAGCGAACAGG